ACAAUGAAAUUUAUAGUAAGAGGAAAAUCCGUCGACUUUAGAAAUCGUGAGGGUUCAA
Molecule: transfer RNA, 58 nt
Filed under: Acer pectinatum subsp. taronense
Lineage: Eukaryota; Viridiplantae; Streptophyta; Magnoliopsida; Sapindales; Sapindaceae
Description: tRNA-Leu
Source: RNAcentral